This 253-nucleotide ribosomal RNA is filed under the name uncultured bacterium. RNAcentral describes it as "partial 16S ribosomal RNA". It matches the Rfam family "Bacterial small subunit ribosomal RNA", at positions 524 to 776 of the family's 1533-position model. The record is from RNAcentral.
UACGAGAGGCCCAAACGUUAUUCGGAAUCACUGGGCUUAAAGCGUGCGUAGGCGGCUCAGAAAGUUGGGUGUGAAAUCCCUCGGCUCAACCGAGGAAUUGCGCUCAAAACUACUGAGCUCGAGGGAGUUAGAGGUGAGCGGAACUAAUGGUGGAGCGGUGAAAUGCGUUGAUAUCAGGAAGAACACCCGUGGCGAAGGCGGCUCUCUGGGACGGUACUGACGCUGAGACGCGAAAGCGUGGGGAGCGAACAGG